GCGGCGGACGGGUGAGUAACACGUGGGCAACCUGCCUGUAAGACUGGGAUAACUUCUGGAAACCGAAGCUAAUACCGGAUAGGAUCUUCUCCUUCAUGGGAGAUGAUUGAAAGAUGGUUUCGGCUAUCACUUACAGAUGGGCCCGCGGUGCAUUAGCUAGUUGGUGAGGUAACGGCUCACCAAGGCAACGAUGCAUAGCCGACCUGAGAGGGUGAUCGGCCACACUGGGACUGAGACACGGCCCAGACUCCUACGGGAGGCAGCAGUAGGGAAUCUUCCGCAAUGGACGAAAGUCUGACGGAGCAACGCCGCGUGAGUGAUGAAGGCUUUCGGGUCGUAAAACUCUGUUGUUAGGGAAGAACAAGUACGAGAGUAACUGCUCGUACCUUGACGGUACCUAACCAGAAAGCCACGGCUAACUACGUGCCAGCAGCCGCGGUAAUACGUAGGUCGCAAGCGUUAUCCGGAAUUAUUGGGCGUAAAGCGCGCGCAGGCGGUUUCUUAAGUCUGAUGUGAAAGCCCACGGCUCAACCGUGGAGGGUCAUUGGAAACUGGGGAACUUGAGUGCAGAAGAGAAAAGCGG
This 583-nucleotide ribosomal RNA is filed under the name Priestia aryabhattai. Its description in RNAcentral is "bacterial SSU rRNA". It matches the Rfam family "Bacterial small subunit ribosomal RNA", at positions 95 to 664 of the family's 1533-position model. Lineage: Bacteria; Bacillati; Bacillota; Bacilli; Caryophanales; Bacillaceae. The record is from RNAcentral.